RNAcentral lists this ribosomal RNA (1444 nucleotides) under marine metagenome. Its description in RNAcentral is "bacterial SSU rRNA". It matches the Rfam family "Bacterial small subunit ribosomal RNA". The record is from RNAcentral.
AUGAACGCUGGCGGCGUGCUUAACACAUGCAAGUCGAACGAACCUUCGGGUUAGUGGCGGACGGGUGAGUAACGCGUGAGAAUCUGCCCUCAGGAGGGGGAUAACGGUUGGAAACGACCGCUAAUACCCCAUAUGCCUACUGGUGAAACGAAUUUCGCCUGAGGAUGAGCUCGCGUCUGAUUAGCUUGUUGGUGAGGUAAUGGCUCACCAAGGCUUCGAUCAGUAGCUGGUCUGAGAGGAUGAUCAGCCACACUGGGACUGAGACACGGCCCAGACUCCUACGGGAGGCAGCAGUGGGGAAUUUUCCGCAAUGGGCGAAAGCCUGACGGAGCAACGCCGCGUGAGGGACGAAGGCCUCUGGGCUGUAAACCUCUUUUCUCAAGGAAGAAGAUAUGACGGUACUUGAGGAAUAAGCCACGGCUAAUUCCGUGCCAGCAGCCGCGGUAAUACGGGAGUGGCAAGCGUUAUCCGGAAUUAUUGGGCGUAAAGCGUCCGCAGGCGGCUUUUCAAGUCUGCUGUUAAAGCGUGGAGCUUAACUCCAUCAUGGCAGUGGAAACUGAAAGGCUUGAGUAUGGUAGGGGCAGAGGGAAUUCCCGGUGUAGCGGUGAAAUGCGUAGAUAUCGGGAAGAACACCAGUGGCGAAGGCGCUCUGCUGGGCCAUUACUGACGCUCAUGGACGAAAGCCAGGGGAGCGAAAGGGAUUAGAUACCCCUGUAGUCCUGGCCGUAAACGAUGAACACUAGGUGUCGGGGGAAUCGACCCCUUCGGUGUCGUAGCUAACGCGUUAAGUGUUCCGCCUGGGGAGUACGCACGCAAGUGUGAAACUCAAAGGAAUUGACGGGGGCCCGCACAAGCGGUGGAGUAUGUGGUUUAAUUCGAUGCAACGCGAAGAACCUUACCAGGGUUUGACAUCCUGCGAACCUCUUAGAAAUUUGAGGGUGCCUUCGGGAAUGCAGUGACAGGUGGUGCAUGGCUGUCGUCAGCUCGUGUCGUGAGAUGUUGGGUUAAGUCCCGCAACGAGCGCAACCCACGUUUUUAGUUGCCAGCAUUUAGUUGGGCACUCUAGAAAGACCGCCGGUGAUAAACCGGAGGAAGGUGUGGAUGACGUCAAGUCAUCAUGCCCCUUACACCCUGGGCUACACACGUACUACAAUGCUACGGACAAAGGGCAGCAAACUCGCGAGAGCUAGCAAAUCCCAUAAACCGUGGCUCAGUUCAGAUCGUAGGCUGCAACUCGCCUACGUGAAGUAGGAAUCGCUAGUAAUCGCAGGUCAGCAUACUGCGGUGAAUACGUUCCCGGGCCUUGUACACACCGCCCGUCACACCAUGGAAGUUGGCCAUGCCCGAAGUCGUUACUCCAACCCUUGUGGAGGAGGACGCCGAAGGUGGGGCUAAUGACUGGGGUGAAGUCGUAACAAGGUAGCCGUACCGGAAGGUGCGGCUG